This 495-nucleotide ribosomal RNA is filed under the name uncultured bacterium. RNAcentral's name for it is "partial 16S ribosomal RNA". It matches the Rfam family "Bacterial small subunit ribosomal RNA", at positions 29 to 506 of the family's 1533-position model. The record is from RNAcentral.
AUGAACGCUGGCGGCGUGCCUAAUACAUGCAAGUCGCGCGAACGGACGAGAAGCUUGCUUCUCUGAUGUUAGCGGCGGACGGGUGAGUAACCCGUGGAUAACCUACCUAUAAGACUGGGAUAACUUCGGGAAACCGGAGCUAAUACCGGAUAAUAUUUUGAACCGCAUGGUUCAAAAGUGAAAGACGGUCUUGCUGUCACUUAUAGAUGGAUCCGCGCUGCAUUAGCUAGUUGGUAAGGUAACGGCUUACCAAGGCAACGAUGCAUAGCCGACCUGAGAGGGUGAUCGGCCACACUGGAACUGAGACACGGUCCAGACUCCUACGGGAGGCAGCAGUAGGGAAUCUUCCGCAAUGGGCGAAAGCCUGACGGAGCAACGCCGCGUGAGUGAUGAAGGUCUUCGGAUCGUAAAACUCUGUUAUUAGGGAAGAACAUAUGUGUAAGUAACUGUGCACAUCUUGACGGUACCUAAUCAGAAAGCCACGGCUAACUACGU